UGCAAAGUGUUGGGAGUAGACCGCGGGC
This 28-nucleotide small RNA is filed under the name Bombyx mori (domestic silkworm). Its description in RNAcentral is "piRNA piR-bmo-2138545". The record is from RNAcentral. Lineage: Eukaryota; Metazoa; Arthropoda; Insecta; Lepidoptera; Bombycidae.